UGUGCGCGAUCGCCCCUUUGUGCAGCACACCAGAAGCGGAGGAACCAUCCUUUGGGGCGUAUCUUUCGUGCGGUAGAAGGCAGCUUUUUGAGCUGCCGCGUAUAGUGAAGCUGGCUUUGUCCAGAUUUUAUGACAUUGGCUCUACCGUACUCAAUGAGGGGCACCUCUCAGCCCUAGCCCGUCAGCUAACUCCGUCGGCUUUGGGAGGAGACUGA
Molecule: small RNA, 215 nt
Filed under: Leptolyngbya sp.
Lineage: Bacteria; Bacillati; Cyanobacteriota; Cyanophyceae; Leptolyngbyales; Leptolyngbyaceae
Description: c-di-AMP sequence
Rfam family: c-di-AMP riboswitch aptamer (ydaO/yuaA leader)
About the family: This family represents a conserved RNA structure found upstream of the ydaO and yuaA genes in Bacillus subtilis and related genes in other bacteria.
Source: RNAcentral